Molecule: ribosomal RNA, 253 nt
Filed under: uncultured bacterium
Lineage: Bacteria
Description: partial 16S ribosomal RNA
Rfam family: Bacterial small subunit ribosomal RNA
Source: RNAcentral
UACGGAGGGUGCAAGCGUUAUCCGGAUUCACUGGGUUUAAAGGGUGCGUAGGUGGGUAAGUAAGUCAGUGGGGAAAUCUCCGGGCUUAACCCGGAAACUGCCAUUGAUACUAUUUGUCUUGAAUACUGUGGAGGUCAGCGGAAUAUGUCAUGUAGCGGUGAAAUGCUUAGAUAUGACAUAGAACACCAAUUGCGAAGGCAGCUGGCUACACAAAUAUUGACACUGAGGCACGAAAGCGUGGGGAUCAAACAGG